GCCCAUUAAAGCGGCACGCGAGCUGGGUUUAGAACGUCGUGAGACAGUUCGGUCCCUAUCCGCCGCGCGCGCAGGAAACUUGAGAAAGGCUGUCCCUAGUACGAGAGGACCGGGAUGGACGAACCUCUGGUGUGCCAGUUGUCCCGCCAGGGGCACGGCUGGUUAGCUACGUUCGGAAGUGAUAACCGCUGAAUGCAUCUAAGCGGGAAGCAUGUUUCAAGAUGAGGUUUCCCACCCGCUUGACGGGGUAAGGCCCCCAGCAGAACACUGGGUUGAUAGGCCGGAGGUGUACAGCAGUAAUGCCUAGCCGACCGGUACUAAUAGGCCGAGGGCUUGUCUUAC
Molecule: ribosomal RNA, 342 nt
Filed under: Nocardioides lianchengensis
Lineage: Bacteria; Bacillati; Actinomycetota; Actinomycetes; Propionibacteriales; Nocardioidaceae
Description: bacterial LSU rRNA
Rfam family: Bacterial large subunit ribosomal RNA
Source: RNAcentral